This 429-nucleotide ribosomal RNA is filed under the name uncultured Actinomycetes bacterium. RNAcentral describes it as "bacterial SSU rRNA". It matches the Rfam family "Bacterial small subunit ribosomal RNA", at positions 38 to 460 of the family's 1533-position model. The record is from RNAcentral. Lineage: Bacteria; Bacillati; Actinomycetota; Actinomycetes.
GGCGGCGCGCUUAACACAUGCAAGUCGAGCGAGAACCAGGCCUUCGGGCCUGGGGACAGCGGCGAACGGGUGAGUAACACGUGGGUAAUCAACCCUCGAUACUGGGAUAGCCCGGGGAAACCCGGAUUAAUACCGGAUGGCCCUUUGGAUCCUCGGAUCUGAAGGAAAAGGUAGCUUCGGCCUCCGAUCGAGGACGAGCCCGCGGCGGAUUAGCUUGUUGGUGAGGUAACGGCCCACCAAGGCGACGAUCCGUAGCUGGUCUGAGAGGACGAUCAGCCACACUGGGACUGAGACACGGCCCAGACUCCUACGGGAGGCAGCAGUGGGGAAUCUUGCGCUAAUGCGGGAAACCGUGACGCACCGACGCCGCGUGAGGGAANAAGGCUUCGGGUUGUAAACCUCUUUCAGGAGGGACGAANCCACUCGGGU